RNAcentral lists this ribosomal RNA (62 nucleotides) under Acanthamoeba castellanii str. Neff. Lineage: Eukaryota; Discosea; Longamoebia; Acanthamoebidae. The record is from RNAcentral.
GGAUACGGCCAUACUGCGCAGAAAGCACCGCUUCCCAUCCGAACAGCGAAGUUAAGCUGCGC